Molecule: RNase P RNA, 396 nt
Filed under: Guptibacillus hwajinpoensis
Lineage: Bacteria; Bacillati; Bacillota; Bacilli; Caryophanales; Guptibacillaceae
Description: Pseudalkalibacillus hwajinpoensis RNase P RNA component class B
Rfam family: Bacterial RNase P class B
About the family: Ribonuclease P (RNase P) is a ubiquitous endoribonuclease, found in archaea, bacteria and eukarya as well as chloroplasts and mitochondria.
Source: RNAcentral
ACGUUCGGGUAGUCGCUGUAUGUCGCAAUUAAGCGGCGUGUAGAGGAAAGUCCAUGCUCGCACGAUCUGAGACGAUCGUAGUGUUCGUGCCUGAUGAAACAAUAAGUCAGGGUAGUCCAAUUGGGCUAACGGCGGGGAAACGGCCUAAGUUCUUAACGGAUAAGGCCCGAAUACUCUGAAAGUGCCACAGUGACGAAGUCUUAAUGGAAACAUUAAGAGUGGAACGAGGUAAACCCCACGAGCGAGAAACCCAAAUUAUGGUAGGGGAGCUUUCUCGAAGGAAUUGAACGGAGAGAAAGCCAGGCGGUGAGGACGCGUCUGGAGAUAGAUGAUUACCACCUGAGUACGAGGGGAGACCCGUUCGCAGUACGAUGGAACAGAACAUGGCUUACAGAA